Molecule: long non-coding RNA, 379 nt
Organism: Ostrinia furnacalis (Asian corn borer)
Lineage: Eukaryota; Metazoa; Arthropoda; Insecta; Lepidoptera; Crambidae
Exons: 3
Source: RefSeq, a predicted model, not a curated record
GGCGGCGGCCCGGAAUCAGCAGGCGACUGGUCGCGAGAGCCGUCGGAUGAUGAGUGGGCCGAUGCACCCACGGAUAUCGGGUCCUUCCUGCAUACUAGACUGAGGGUCGAUGGAGAUAAUAGCGCUGACGACGAGUCAAACGACAGCGCCGGCGGCGCGCGGUCGGUCUCGUCGGUCGCGGCGUCGUCGUCGUCGGUCGCCGACCGGACCGACGUCAAGGUGGAGCCGUUCGCGAUCACGCCACAGACCAAUAAACCGACGGUAGGCCCCAAAUCUGGCCCCACGGACCCCCGUUUCACAGACGUGGUGAAACUGACGGACUACCUACAACACGGACGGAGGCCGCAGUUCUGGGAGGAGCACUAUGUUAAGAGGGUAA